UCGGGAAUAUUGCGCAAUGGAGGAAACUCUGACGCAGUGACGCCGCGUGCAGGAAGAAGGUUUUCGGAUUGUAAACUGCUUUAGACAGGGAAGAAAAAAUGACAGUACCUGUAGAAUAAGCUCCGGCUAACUACGUGCCAGCAGCCGCGGUAAUACGUAGGGAGCAAGCGUUAUCCGGAUUUAUUGGGUGUAAAGGGUGCGUAGACGGGAAGACAAGUUAGUUGUGAAAUCCCUCGGCUUAACUGAGGAACUGCAACUAAAACUAUCAUUCUUGAGUGCUGGAGAGGAAAGUGGAAUUCCUAGUGUAGCGGUGAAAUGCGUAGAUAUUAGGAGGAACACCAGUGGCGAAGGCGACUUUCUGGACAGUAACUGACGUUGAGGCACGAAAGUGUGGGGAGCAAACAGGAUUAGAUACC
RNAcentral lists this ribosomal RNA (416 nucleotides) under uncultured bacterium. RNAcentral's name for it is "bacterial SSU rRNA". It matches the Rfam family "Bacterial small subunit ribosomal RNA", at positions 355 to 786 of the family's 1533-position model. The record is from RNAcentral.